Molecule: ribosomal RNA, 1968 nt
Filed under: Orbilia oligospora ATCC 24927
Lineage: Eukaryota; Fungi; Ascomycota; Orbiliomycetes; Orbiliales; Orbiliaceae
Description: Arthrobotrys oligospora ATCC 24927 Bacterial large subunit ribosomal RNA
Rfam family: Bacterial large subunit ribosomal RNA
Source: Rfam by way of RNAcentral
GAAAAAUAUAGAAAGAAACUAUUAGGGAAUCAUUGCAAUAUAUCAAAGAGAGAAAUUUUAAUUUGUAUAAACAGUAUAAAACUGGUUUAAAAACAUGAACUCUAAGAGAAAUUCAGUAAUAAACGAAGUAAAUUGAAAUAUCUUAAUAACUUUAGGAAAAGAAAUCAAAAGAGAUUCUAUGAUUAGUGAGAAUGAAAAUAGAGAAGCCUUCCAAUACAUAUGGGAUGGUUUAGGUACAAUCGGGUAAUAUAAAAACAUUAAAUAUUAUUAAAAAUUUUUAGGAAAAUUUUUAAAGUUAAUAUAUAAUAUUAAGUAAAUAAAAGUUUUAUAAAUAUAAAAACCUAUGUAAACUAAAACCAUAGUAUGGUACAAAUAAAAAUUAACAAGUAAAAUGGGUUAAGACUUGUUUGAAUAAGUAAAGGGGAACCUUCCUCUAAGGCUAAAUAUGAUAUAUUGAGCGAUAGCGUAGAGUACCGUGAGGGAAUUGAAAAAUUAGUAGUUUUAUAAGCAGCUUGAGAAGAAAAUUUAAAUAACAUUAAAAGCGUACCUUUUGCAUAAUGGGUCAGCAAGUUAAUAUUAGAUGCGAGCAAUAACUGCCUAGAUAAAUCGGUCAAUACAAUAGUGAUAAGUAUCUAAAAUUAGACCCGAAACCUAGUGAUCUUACCAUGAUCAGAGUCACAAAAGCUCGAACGGGUUAUUGUUGCAUAAAUAUCCGAUGAAUUGUGGUAAGCUUGGUGAAAGAUAAAACUGACUAGGGAUAGCUGGUUUUCCGCGAAACGUAUCUAAGUACGUAAUUUUAACUAACAUCAUGCAGGUACAGAACUUGAUCUUACAUGGCUAGUCGAGGAGAUAUUUUUCAAUUAUAUCGGGGAAUCGUGAAGAUUUUAUCGUUAAGUAAUAGGUCUCGGAAUGGCAGUGAUGAAUGUAAAAAUAACAGACAUAGUAUGCUAAGGUUGUAUGUCAAAAGGGAAACAGCCCAGAACAAGUGUAAAUAUAAGGUUCCAAAAUUAUUGUUAAGUGAAAUAAAGAGAGUUUUUAUCUUAUUCGAUCAGGUGAUGGGCUUAGUGGCGGCCAUUUUUUAAAGACCUCGUAAUAGAGCACUGAUUCAACACCGGAAGACCUCCGGUGGAUAGAGACAUCUAAAAUUUAUCGGAUCUAAACAAUAUACCGACACCUUGUCCAUAAUUACAGUUGGUAUUCAAAUUAGAGAUGGUCUAUCUAAUUUAAUUAUGGGGUAGCGGAACGUUGGGUGAUAAUAUUCAAUUAUUCUUUUUAAGAAUAAAAAAAAGAUUAACCCAAGUGAGAAUGCUGACAUGAGUAACGAAAAAGGAUAAAAAAAAUUUUUUUUACCUCGCCUUAAGCUUAUGGUAUUAUAUAAGUAACGGCCUCUAAGUUAGUUGACCUAAAGGUCUAAACGAUGAGAAAAAUCUUGUGAUUAUUGUAACAACCUUAUAUGGGUGUAUAAGUGUUCUGGAAAAGCAAUAAACAACGUAAAGCUAUUAUUAACUUUACGAUAAUAAAACCGUACCUAAGUACCAAGAGGUAAGCUAGUAGAGAAUACGAAGGCGCUUGAGUGAACAAUCUUUAAGGAACUCGGCAAACUAACUACCGUAACUUAGGGAGAAGGAGUGCCGAUCCCCCGUUUAAUAUCGGUUUGGAUAAGGAAGCAUAGAAUCGUGUUGUCCGACUGUUUAAUUAAAACAAAGCACGCUGCAUUAAGAUGAAAGUCUAAGUAUAGAGUGUGAUGUCUGCCCGAUGCCGGCUGGUUAACGGAGUUUCUGGGCUGCUUUUAUUAUAAAUGUCGGUCUGGUUUUGAAGGAUACCCCGGUUAAUGGCGGCCUUAUCUAUGAGGGUCCUAAGGUAGCAAAAUACCUUGGCCACUAAAUAUGGUCUCGCAUGAAUGAUGUAACGAUACAACAGCUGUCUCGAAGAUUGGCUCAGUGAAAUUGGAAUUGCAGUAUUUAUUUG